CAGUAGCCACGGGAAUACGGAGGGUGCAAGCGUUAUUGGAAUUACUGGGCGUAAAGCGCACGCAGGCGGUUUGUUAAGUCAGAUGUGAAAUCCCCGAGCUUAACUUGGGAACUGCAUUUGAAACUGGCAAGCUAGAGUCUUGUAGAGGGGGGUAGAAUUCCAGGUGUAGCGGUGAAAUGCGUAGAGAUCUGGAGGAAUACCGGUGGCGAAGGCGGCCCCCAGGACAAAGACUGACGCUCAGGUGCGAAAGCGUGGGGAGCAAACAGGAUUAGAUACCCCUGUAGUCCCUGUCUCUUAUACA
RNAcentral lists this ribosomal RNA (301 nucleotides) under uncultured bacterium. Its description in RNAcentral is "partial 16S ribosomal RNA". It matches the Rfam family "Bacterial small subunit ribosomal RNA", at positions 509 to 808 of the family's 1533-position model. The record is from RNAcentral.